RNAcentral lists this ribosomal RNA (930 nucleotides) under Halomonas elongata. RNAcentral describes it as "bacterial SSU rRNA". It matches the Rfam family "Bacterial small subunit ribosomal RNA", at positions 56 to 973 of the family's 1533-position model. The record is from RNAcentral. Lineage: Bacteria; Pseudomonadati; Pseudomonadota; Gammaproteobacteria; Oceanospirillales; Halomonadaceae.
UGCAGUCGAGCGGAACGAUCCUAGCUUGCUAGGAGGCGUCGAGCGGCGGACGGGUGAGUAAUGCAUAGGAAUCUGCCCGGUAGUGGGGGAUAACUUGAGGAAACUCAAGCUAAUACCGCAUACGCCCUACGGGGGAAAGCAGGGGCUCUUCGGACCUUGCGCUAUCGGAUGAGCUUAUGUCGGAUUAGCUGGUUGGUGAGGUAACGGCUCACCAAGGCGACGAUCCGUAGCUGGUCUGAGAGGAUGAUCAGCCACAUCGGGACUGAGACACGGCCCGAACUCCUACGGGAGGCAGCAGUGGGGAAUAUUGGACAAUGGGGGCAACCCUGAUCCAGCCAUGCCGCGUGUGUGAAGAAGGCCCUCGGGUUGUAAAGCACUUUCAGCGAGGAAGAAUGCUUGUCGGUUAAUACCCGGCAAGGGAGACAUCACUCGCAGAAGAAGCACCGGCUAACUCCGUGCCAGCAGCCGCGGUAAUACGGAGGGUGCGAGCGUUAAUCGGAAUUACUGGGCGUAAAGCGUGCGUAGGCGGCUUGAUAAGCCGGUUGUGAAAGCCCCGGGCUCAACCUGGGAACGGCAUCCGGAACUGUUAGGCUAGAGUGCAGGAGAGGAAGGUAGAAUUCCCGGUGUAGCGGUGAAAUGCGUAGAGAUCGGGAGGAAUACCAGUGGCGAAGGCGGCCUUCUGGACUGACACUGACGCUGAGGUACGAAAGCGUGGGUAGCAAACAGGAUUAGAUACCCUGGUAGUUCCACGCCGUAAAACGAUGUCGACUAGCCGUUGGGGUCCUCGAGACCUUUGUGGGCGCAGUUAACGCACUAAGUCGACCGCCUGGGGGGAGUACGGCCCGCAAGGUUAAAACUCAAAUGAAUUGACGGGGGCCCGCACAAGCGGUGGAGCAUGUGGUUUAAUUCGAUGCAACGCGAAGAACCUUA